Molecule: small nucleolar RNA, 95 nt
Filed under: Schistosoma haematobium
Lineage: Eukaryota; Metazoa; Platyhelminthes; Trematoda; Strigeidida; Schistosomatidae
Description: Small nucleolar RNA U3
Rfam family: Small nucleolar RNA U3
About the family: Small nucleolar RNAs (snoRNAs) are involved in the processing and modification of rRNA in the nucleolus. There are two main classes of snoRNAs: the box C/D class, and the box H/ACA class. U3 snoRNA is a member of the box C/D class.
Source: Rfam by way of RNAcentral
GAGAUCGUACUUCUAGGGACCAGUUCUAUAGUACGUAUCACCAGGACGUCAAACAAACUUGACCCUGGCCAACAUCAAUAGAGAAUGAAAUCUGA